This is a long non-coding RNA of Odocoileus virginianus texanus, 672 nucleotides long. RefSeq lists it as uncharacterized. NCBI's taxonomy places the organism in Eukaryota, Metazoa, Chordata, Mammalia, Artiodactyla, Cervidae. The record is from RefSeq and is a predicted model, not a curated record.
UUUGGCUUAGAAGGUUGUCCUAACUCAGUCUUCAGGGAUCACACAAAUUGCAUUAUUAGAGAAGAUGAAAAUAAUUCAGAAUUGGGAUAACUGAAGUUUGGCUUAAGUAAUCUGGCUUAAGACAUUACCCAUGAGGGACACCACAAAAGAACCAUGAGAAGUCUAACUCCCAGCAUCUUAGGAAAGCUUCCCCCAUGAAAGACUAUGGUUCCCACCUGCACUCUGUCCUCUAUGUGGGCAGCCUCACUUCCCUCCUGACUCCUAACCAGCUCUGGAAAGCAAUGAGCAUGCAGAGAGAAACACACCAACUUCAAGGUGAAAUAGGUGGCAAGGAGAAGGCUGGAGGAGAAGAGCCUGUGGGCAUGGAAGAGGAGGCACGGGGACAUGUGUUGAGUGAUGAUAUCCAAGGGCCUCCUCACCUGCUAACGGGAUUAUGUGGGGGUCCUUUCUCAAAUCUCAAGUAGAGCAAAGACCUAGAACCAUUCAGAGCUCAUGAACAUCAGCUUACCUCCCCAUAUAGGAAAGAUUCUGCAAAGAAAUGCAUCCCAGUGCAAUGCAAUGCUGGCAGGAAAACUAAGUCUACAUGUCUGUGUGGAAGUUCUUUGGCCUUUUUUUUCCAUUUGAAUUCACAUUACCUAGCUGUCUGCCUGAAACAUCCAACCACAGAAGUUU